AUUUAAAUAACUUAUAUAGAGUGUAACAUUGAAGAUGUUAAAGAGAUUGAUUUAAUCUUUAAAUA
This 65-nucleotide transfer RNA is filed under the name Lepidostoma fui. RNAcentral's name for it is "tRNA-Phe". Lineage: Eukaryota; Metazoa; Arthropoda; Insecta; Trichoptera; Lepidostomatidae. The record is from RNAcentral. RNAcentral also lists the same sequence under 1 other name.